UAGUAGUUAUACGACUGACGGAAGUGGAAUAGACCACAUGAAGUAUAAUUUUAAAGAGCCGACCGUCUGGGCAAAAGAU
RNAcentral lists this non-coding RNA (79 nucleotides) under Kandleria vitulina. Its description in RNAcentral is "ZTP sequence". It matches the Rfam family "ZMP/ZTP riboswitch aptamer (pfl RNA motif)". Rfam says of the family: Previously known as pfl RNA. ZMP is also known as AICAR. Lineage: Bacteria; Bacillati; Bacillota; Erysipelotrichia; Erysipelotrichales; Coprobacillaceae. RNAcentral also lists the same sequence under 1 other name. The record is from RNAcentral.